Molecule: ribosomal RNA, 405 nt
Filed under: uncultured bacterium
Lineage: Bacteria
Description: bacterial SSU rRNA
Rfam family: Bacterial small subunit ribosomal RNA
Source: RNAcentral
UGGGGAAUAUUGGGCAAUGGGCGCAAGCCUGACCCAGCAACGCCGCGUGAAGGAUGAAGGCUUUCGGGUUGUAAACUUCUUUUAUCAGGGACGAAACAAAUGACGGUACCUGAUGAAUAAGCCACGGCUAACUACGUGCCAGCAGCCGCGGUAAUACGUAGGUGGCAAGCGUUAUCCGGAUUUACUGGGUGUAAAGGGCGUGUAGGCGGGACUGCAAGUCAGAUGUGAAAACUAUGGGCUCAACCCAUAGCCUGCAUUUGAAACUGUAGUUCUUGAGUGCUGGAGAGGCAAUCGGAAUUCCGUGUGUAGCGGUGAAAUGCAUAGAUAUACGGAGGAACACCAGUGGCGAAGGCGGAUUGCUGGACAGUAACUGACGCUGAGGCGCGAAAGCGUGGGGAGCAAACA